GCUAAGGAUAUUCCGCAACGGGCGGAAGCCCGGCGGAGCGACGCCGCGUGGACGAGGAAGGCCGGAAGGUUGCAGAGUCCUUUUGCGGGGGAAGAAGGAGCCGCGGAGGGAAUGCCGCGGCGGCGACCGAACCCCGCGAAUAAGGGGCGGCUAAUUACGUGCCAGCAGCCGCGGUAACACGUAAGCCCCGAGCGUUGUUCGGAAUCAUUGGGCGUAAAGGGCGCGUAGGCGGCCGCUCAAGCCCGGAGUGAAAGGCGGGGGCCCAACCCCCGGACUGCUCCGGGAACUGGGCGGCUGGAGUCGCCGAGGGGGAGCCGGAAUUCCUGGUGUAGGGGUGAAAUCUGUAGAUAUCAGGAAGAACACCGAUGGCGAAGGCAGGCUUCCAGCGGACGACUGACGCUGAGGCGCGAAGGCGCGGGGAGCGAACAGG
Molecule: ribosomal RNA, 430 nt
Filed under: bacterium
Lineage: Bacteria
Also listed under: 1 other name
Description: bacterial SSU rRNA
Rfam family: Bacterial small subunit ribosomal RNA
Source: RNAcentral